Transfer RNA from Anaeromyces robustus, 82 nucleotides. It matches the Rfam family "tRNA". From Rfam's summary of the family: Transfer RNA (tRNA) molecules are approximately 80 nucleotides in length. Their secondary structure includes four short double-helical elements and three loops (D, anti-codon, and T loops). Lineage: Eukaryota; Fungi; Neocallimastigomycota; Neocallimastigomycetes; Neocallimastigales; Neocallimastigaceae. The record is from Rfam.
GCCGGGAUGGCCGAGCGGUCUAAGGCGGCGCACUCAAGAUGCGUUUUCGUAAGAAGCGCGAGUUCGAAUCUCGCUUCCGGCA